This 484-nucleotide ribosomal RNA is filed under the name uncultured bacterium. Its description in RNAcentral is "bacterial SSU rRNA". It matches the Rfam family "Bacterial small subunit ribosomal RNA", at positions 501 to 985 of the family's 1533-position model. The record is from RNAcentral.
CUACGUGCCAGCAGCCGCGGUAAUACGGAGGAUGCGAGCGUUAUCCGGAUUUAUUGGGUUUAAAGGGUGCGUAGGUGGGCUGUUAAGUCCGCGGUGAAAGUUUGUCGCUUAACGAUAAAAUUGCCGUUGAAACUGGUAGUCUUGAGUAUAGAUGAAGUAGGCGGAAUGCGUGGUGUAGCGGUGAAAUGCAUAGAGAUCACGCAGAACUCCGAUUGCGAAGGCAGCUUACUAAGGUAUAACUGACACUGAAGCACGAAAGCGUGGGUAUCAAACAGGAUUAGAUACCCUGGUAGUCCACGCAGUAAACGAUGAUUACUAGGAGUUUGCGAUAUACCGUCAAGCUUCCACAGCGAAAGCGUUAAGUAAUCCACCUGGGGAGUACGCCGGCAACGGUGAAACUCAAAGGAAUUGACGGGGGCCCGCACAAGCGGAGGAACAUGUGGUUUAAUUCGAUGAUACGCGAGGAACCUUACCCGGGAUUGAA